UCACCAUUACUUUAGGCCAGAGCAGAAGUGCUCAUAGCAUGGCCCCGUCAGAUUCCAACAAAUCUGCAUAUUCUGCU
This 77-nucleotide ribozyme is filed under the name Crocodylus porosus (Australian saltwater crocodile). Its description in RNAcentral is "Mammalian CPEB3 ribozyme (ENSCPRG00005019101.1)". It matches the Rfam family "Mammalian CPEB3 ribozyme". From Rfam's summary of the family: The mammalian CPEB3 ribozyme is a self cleaving RNA located in the second intron of the CPEB3 gene which belongs to a family of genes regulating messenger RNA polyadenylation. This ribozyme is highly conserved and found only in mammals. Lineage: Eukaryota; Metazoa; Chordata; Crocodylia; Crocodylidae. The record is from Rfam by way of RNAcentral.